AAUAGAAUAUGUAAAUGUUAUCAUUUGUUCAAUUGUUUCCAUCAUAUAUUUUUAUAAGUUACAUUGAUGAGUAACCUUUAAUUAACUUCAACAUACUAUAAAAACAAAUUGUCCCACAAACAUAUUCCCGAUUGUCCCACAAAAUUUCAUUACUUGUUUACCUGCAGUUUCAAAAAGUGGGACAAUCGGGAAGACACCUUUUUAACGUCUCCCGAUCGUACGAGAACAUUAUGGCCAAUGCCUCCCAUUUGUUGUAGCAGGGACUUUCUAUACUUAGUAUAUGCUAGCAUAGAAAGUACCUGGUUGUAGUUAUUUUAAAACAUGUCUGUUCAGCUUUCAACAAUAUUGAAAUUCAAGGUCCUCGAUAAAAAAAAAAUCUUGCGUUCAUUAAUCUUGCUUUACAAGUCACGGUCAGGAAAUCGAAG
RNAcentral lists this long non-coding RNA (425 nucleotides) under Mytilus galloprovincialis (Mediterranean mussel). Lineage: Eukaryota; Metazoa; Mollusca; Bivalvia; Mytilida; Mytilidae. The record is from RNAcentral.